Molecule: ribosomal RNA, 253 nt
Filed under: uncultured bacterium
Lineage: Bacteria
Description: partial 16S ribosomal RNA
Rfam family: Bacterial small subunit ribosomal RNA
Source: RNAcentral
UACGUAGAGGGCUAGCGUUGUCCGGAAUCAUUGGGCGUAAAGAGCGCGUAGGCGGCCAGAUAAGUCCGGUGUGAAAGUCAAAGGCUCAACCUUUGAAUGCCGCUGGAAACUGUCUGGCUAGAGUCCGGGAGGGGCGAGUGGAAUUCCUGGUGUAGCGGUGAAAUGCGCAGAUAUCAGGAGGAACACCAAUGGCGAAGGCAGCUCGCUGGAACGGUACUGACGCUGAGGCGCGAAAGCGUGGGGAGCGAACAGG